CCUACGGGAGGCAGCAGUGAGGAAUAUUGGUCAAUGGGCGAGAGUCUGAACCAGCCACGUCGCGUGAAGGAUGACGGCUCUAUGGUUUGUAAACUUCUUUUAUAUGGGGAUAAAGUUGGGCACGUGUACUCUUUUGUAUGUACCCUAUGAAUAAGGAUCGGCUAACUCCGUGCCAGCAGCCGCGGUAAUCCGGAGGAUCCGAGCGUUAUCCGGAUUUAUUGGGUUUAAAGGGUGCGUAGGUGGUUUGUUAAGUCAGGUGUGAAAGUUUGUGGCUUAACCAUAAAAUUGCCGUUGAAACUGGUUGACUUGAGGAGAGUAGAGGGAGGCGGAAUGCGAGGUGUAGCGGUGAAAUGCAU
Molecule: ribosomal RNA, 356 nt
Filed under: uncultured bacterium
Lineage: Bacteria
Description: partial 16S ribosomal RNA
Rfam family: Bacterial small subunit ribosomal RNA
Source: RNAcentral